This 6826-nucleotide long non-coding RNA is filed under the name Amborella trichopoda. RNAcentral's name for it is "long non-coding RNA (ATRI_LNC002968)". The record is from RNAcentral. Lineage: Eukaryota; Viridiplantae; Streptophyta; Magnoliopsida; Amborellales; Amborellaceae.
UUCUAGGGAGAGAUAACAUUCUCUCCCACUCAAAUAUGUUAAAGAAGUUCUGGGUACCUGUAUUUGAUAAUAUUUCUCUUUCCCCUCAUUCUCUGCCACUCAAAUAUGGGUUUUCUAAACCCUCAUCCUUCUGUGUUUUAUCUUUCCCUUGCCCUCUCCCCCUCUCUCUCUCUCUGUUCGCAGCCCUUUGCUCUUGCCCCUCUCUCCAGUCCCAUUACCCUCUCGCCCCUCUCUCCCUUUGCUCGCUAUUCCUCUUGCCCCAAGCUAAGUUUAACUAAUCGGUGUAGUAAUUUGACAUGUUGUUGAUGAGGAUUGAAUUUUGUUAGAACAGUGAUGGUUUUAUGCUGAAAUUGGUGCCUUGAUUUUUGUUGAAUUGGUGGGGUUGAAAUGAAAUAAGUAUCUUGAUUUUUAUCAAAAUGAUGGGGUCAUAUUAUAAUUAGUUUAACUUGUUCUUGAAAUUUACUUGUGGAAUGACGCUUUCUUGGGAAGUGUGAGUAAAAUAAGUGAAAAAAUGAAAAAGAUUGUUAAAUAAGUAGGGUAUAUGUUUCGUCCUCGGCUGGAUUCCAGUAAAAUUAGAGUCUGCUGUUACUGAGGUGUUGGAGAGUUUACUCUUUGAAGGUUAGAGGUAUUAAAUAGUUUGGAUGAUUAUGAGAAUGGCCUGCUCCGUUUCUAGCCUACCUUAUCUGAUUGAAAAGCUACUCUAAUGAAUUUUGCUCAAAACCAUAGGCAAGUGAACUUUGCUUAUGAGAAUGCAAAGAAGAAAUAUGAAGGAAUCUAGUGAGCCACAAAAAUAUCAAUUAGUCUUCCCUCUCUCUUUUUUUCUGAUAUUUUGUGCAUUGCUUAAUGCUGCUUCGCUUGCCUUGCCUUCCUUUUAUUUAACUGCGUGAUUGAUACUUUAAAGGCUAUAUUUAUUUCUUCCUUUUAUCUUGCAGCUCUUCUUGAUCGUGUUUACAGACUAAGUAAAAUUUGAAAAGAGGGAUAGCGAUUAUAGGCAGAGCAGAGGGAAAGAGAGGCGCAAGAGGGUAAUGGGACAGAAAAAGAGGGAGUGGGCAAGAGCAAAGGGCUAGGCAGAGAGAUUAAACGUAUAGGAGGGAUGGGGGUUUAGAAAACCCAUAUUUCAGUGGGAGAGAAUGAGGAGAGACAGAGAGAGAUAGAGAUUCAAGAGACUACAAAUGAGGAGAGAGAGACUUAAAAAAAAAAUUAAUAAUAACCAGACCUUCCUUAAAAUUUCAGCAAGUUAUCAACACAAGAACCCUGAACUUCCUUAACAUUCUUGCAGAUUAUCAAAUACAAUACAGGUACCCGUAACUUCUUUAACAUUCCAGAAAGAUAACAUUCUACUUUUUAGCAAACAAAAACUUUUUGUCUUCAAGAAACAUUUAUCUUCCUGCAAAAGAAACAAUCAUGCUGUAAAGAAGAGAUAUUGAGAAGUUUUGAAUGGGUGUCAGAGGUGUGAAUGAGACAUUUUGGGCUACUCUUGCAUGGGAUAUUUUGGAGCUCAUGAAGGAGACUUCAGAGAUUUUCAUGGGAUCUCUCUCUCCAUCGUUGCCUCUCAUUGAACAUAUAUAUGAAGCUCUCUCUUUCUCUUGCUCUUGCUUUUUCUCAGGAAAGGGGCCAAGUCUUCCCUUAUUUAUGUUCAUAGUGUGUUUGGGCAAACAAUCAACUGAUGUGUUUCUGUUUUCUACCAAUUAAAUUCGUUUUUUCCAGGCUGAAGAGGACAACUUUCGGAUUUUCGGCCUAUACCAAAGCGAAGCGAACCUCUGGUGUGUAGGCUUCAGCCCGCUUCGGUUUGAGCAUUAGGUGAAGCACAGUUUUUUUUAUAUUAAUUUUUAUUUUUUGAAUUUUUAUUUUAAUUUUUUUAUUAUUUCAAUAGAUUGUUAAAAUAUAAUUUUAUAGUUUUUAAAAUAAAAUUUGAAGCCUUCCUCUGAAUCGGCCGAAGCCGAAUUGCUUCAUUUUUUCGACCAAACCAAAAAAAGGCUCUCAAGCGAAUAUGAAAGCACUGGUUUCUAAGUGUAUCUCAAUUGUUGUAAUCAAGUAAGGAAAAUUGUUUCAUGCGGCUCGGACCGCAUGACUACAUAUGCGGUCCACAAAGUGGUAGGUGUUUCAUCUAAAAACAAUAGAAACUAACGGUCUAAAUGUUUUUUUACUAGAAUUAUUAUUUCUAUUUUUAAAAAUUUAUUUAUUUUUUCAUAUUCAUGAUCUCCAUAUUAAACGAAAUGUUCUUGAAAACUAAGUCCAAAAAUCUAUCUCAAAAAUAGAUUAUAAAUAGGCCCGCAUUUUAAAUAUGCGGGCUUGAGCGCAUAGAAACCGAGUCCAUCAAGUAAUAGAAUAUGUCCCAUACUUGAGUCUAAUACCCUUGUCACAGGGAGGUUUGUAUAUGGUGUCCACAAUGUACCAUACAAGUAAGGUACAUCUCCAAAUUUUGUCAAUAGCUCUAGUAUCGAAAACCUUACGAUGGCUUGAAAAUCCAUAUCUAAAUAUAAUUAUGAAAUUUGAAAUUCUAAAAAGUGAUAUAAAUCAGACAGAUCAAUCAACACUUGAGAAUCUUGAAAACUUGAGAAUCUUGAAAAUAGUUGGUCUAGAUAACUUGUUACAAGAUGCAUGUUUUUUAAAAUUUAAAAUUCCCUUUUUUUAAUAGGCCAUCUCGAGGUCGAGAUGAUCAAUCAAAAGACUUUCCAACUUGAGAACACUCUGUUCUAGUGGAUUUUUGAAGUGCACAUUACUAUAGUAUAAGGUUACAUACUUAUAUUCCUUAAUCAGAAAAUGAAGGCCUUUGUUCGAUACGGCAUGCUCAUUUAAGUAUUGAACGAACUGCUUGUCAAAACAAUUUGCAAUGGUCAUCUUCCCUCUAAAUAUUUAAUGAGCAACUCAAUUAUAUUUUUUAUGUGCAUUUUUUGUUCCAAUUCAUGAGGCAUUCUAAUAUUCUCAUUGUAUGAAAAGAUAUCUCUAUAAGCAAAGGCCAAUAAAAUCCAUUUUCAUUUGAAAAUUGGGUACCAUUACAAUCAUUAUAAGACGAAAUUGCACCCUUUCAUUUACAACAAUUAAUAUUCUUCUCAUCCUCGCAGCCAAAAUACAUUACAAGCCUUAAAUGUGACGUCUCUGAAAGGUGAAUGAUAAAAACAAAAGGAAACAUGCACCCUUUUAUUUACAACAACCACUAACUGAGGAAAGUGGUGGAGACCGUGGUAACAUCUCCACACCCAGUUAUCAUAUCGUGGUGUUCAUUUCUACCACAGACAGCCUCAAUUAACAUCUUCAAAAUGUAACUCCCCAAGCUUUUGAAUAAACGGGUAGGGACCUGCCUUUACCAUUGAAUUAGCUAAAAAAAACAACCACGACCUGUGCUUUCCUUUGAAUAAUAGAGGAAGAGAAGAGAGAGAGAUAAGUUUAGGUUGGUUAGUUAAUAUUGUGAAGAAUCCCAGCAUUAAAGGGCGCCCCAACAAGAGAUAAAACAACAUGACCAAUGUGCUUGGAAGAUAAUCCUGCUUCUAUCACCUGGUCUUGUGGUGAUCCAUGGUCAAUGUACUUGUCGGGGAGCACCAUAGCUCUCCACUGUAGCAUUUUUCAUAUGAAGUUGUAUCAAUCGAGAGAGAGAGAGAGACUGAGACUUAAAUGAGAGACAUAGAAAGAGAGAUUAAAUCCCUUGGGGGAGAAUUUUCCAUAUGGGGUUUGGUUCCACCCAGAUUUGGAUCCGAAUUCAGGAAGUAUAAAUGGGAUUUGGAUCCAUAUCCAAUCGAAUCCAACAUGUUCGGAUCCGUAUCAAAAAACUAUAUAUGGGUAUAGUUUUUCUAUCCGGAUCUAAAAACUAUAUAUGGGAUCCGGAUUAGGUAUUCUAAAAGUUUCAAACAUUAUAUAUAUAUAUACUAUUUUUAAAAACCAGGUCGGAUCCGGACCGGAUUCACCUGUACCCAGUUUCGAUCUGAAUUACUACUCAUAUUUAAAUUUUAGAUCUGGAUCUGAAUUUUAGAUCCAAAUCUUGGAUCCAUACUUGGGUCCGCAUAGGAUCUACAAUUUGGGUUUCAAAUCCAAACCGGGUAAAUUCACAACCCUAGCGUAGAGACUUAAAGGCAUUGAAGAGAGAGAGAAAUAGAAUACCUUGAGUUUUCCAUCCAAGAGGCCAUUCAAGGACAAAAAGUGGCAUACAUGAGAACCGAAACCUCCUAUUGAUCCUUCCUCCACUGUAAGUAGAACUUCAUGCUCCAUGGCCAACCUUCUGAUUAAGUCUCCAUCUAGAGGCUUACAAAAGCGCGCAUCGGCUAUGGUUACUGAAACUCCAUGCUCUCCACUAGAAUCCUUCCCUUCCCAAUCUGUUGUUGCAUUUAGACACAAGAAGCUCAUUGAAUUCUUGGAUAUAGUUUAGGAGAAAUAUAAAAUAAGACUAUUUAUUUUUGGUACAAAACGACUGCAAUAACCUUUACUUAUUAGAUGUGAAAUUGGGUGUUGGGGUGGGCCAUUAACCACACUCAAAGUACAAUUUUUUUCUCUUAAAUUUUGUAAUGUACCCCUAGCUACUAGAUUCACAUGUGACAUGAUUAUGACAUUCUUGUGCUAAAGGUAAAUAAUCUAUCUCAAUAAUAUUUAAAUUUGAUGUAAUAUGAAAAAAAAAUAACAUUAUGCACGAUCCAUAUAAGCAUAGAAAAUAAAUGGUCAUAAUCAUCUAAUCAAAGGUUGGACGUGAUGGAGAGUGGAACCUACAACUUGGAAUGGAGUAGAGCCUGGUUCAAGUCAGCUUGGUGAGUUUUGAGUCACACAAUCAUGAUUAUGACUUAGAAUCAUUAUUUAAUUAAAAAAAAAAAUUAUUUAAAGGUGAAGCUCUAAACAAUCAAAUUAAAACGCAUCUCAAAAAUUCAUUAAAAAAUAUUAUUUGGAUGGUAAAAAAUCCUCAAAAUGGUAUUGGUUAUGGGUGACUCGAGUUGUUCAAGAUAUGGGCAGAUUCAGUCCCUGGUGAAUGGGUGACUCGAGUAAGUCCAAGUUGGACUGGCCCUUUUUCUGGGCACUCAGGCAGAUCAUCAUGUGUCAUGCACCAUGUGGAAUGGACCCCACUAAGAAUGCGCUCUAAGCAAAAGCUGUCUGGUUGGUGGGUGCCAAUAUGUGCCAUCCAGGGCUGCAUUUUAGGUCCCAAAUUAAUAUUAUAAAAAUAAAAAGAGAGUGAGAGAAACCUGAUGUAAUGGGUUUUAAAUUUUCGAAGUUUAUAAUAUUUUAGAUUUUAGGUUUAAGCUUUAUUUUGGGUUUCUAGUUUUCUUUAAGUAUGUUUGUGUUUUUUUCAUUUUAUAGAGAAUAUAGAGCUGGAAUUGAAAGCUUUUUUUUUUUUUUUUUAAAGUAUGAAGAAUUAGGAUUUAAUUUUUGUUAGAGUUUCUCACGGAAUAAGUUAAGAUUUAGAGUUUUUUUCUUUUAUAAAUAUAUAGCUAUUUGAGCAGAAAAAUAUAAAUAUAUAUUUAGAGAGAAGAGAAGAAGAAUUAAUUUUUGUGUUGUGAAAUGAUUUUUGAGGAGACUCUCUUUUAGACCCUAAAAAGGAUAUAUUCUUAUUCUAUAUUUUUCUAGUUAUUUUUUUUUAUUUUUUUCACCUUUUUAACAUUAAAGCCCCCACCUCAUUUAACAUGAUAUGUCGACAAUAUAUAAAAAGGAAAUGCACCUAUAGUCUUUCUCUCUCUCAUGGGAAUAGUGAAGGAUAAGAAGUACCUCUAAGGGUGUACCCUUAUGGUUCGGAGGAAGGGGUGAACCCACUCCAUUGCCUCUUGGGAAUCUAAAGCAAGAGGGUCUAUCAUCAAUGGAGGCAGCUGUUGCAACCAUGUGAAUGAGUUCAGACUCAUCAGAGAGCCCCAUCACUACCAUGUUGGGGAGGCAAGCCAUGAAAGUGGUGUCAAAAGCUCCACAAUAUGUUGGACCAUCUGCCCCAACUAGUCCAGCCCUAUCCAUUGCAAACCUCACUGGAAGCUUUUGUAGAUCCACAUCAUGAACCACCUGUGCCAGUUUCCAAGUGCUUAAAAUUGCUCAUUUUCAAUUUAGAGAGAGAGAGAUCAGUAAGCCUACUAUGUGAGAAAUAUCGAGUGUUGGUUUGCAAGCCCUAAUAUCCUUGUAAGACACUAGUCUCCUAGUAAGACAUUGAGCACAUUCGGAAAUGGUGGACAUAUUAUACACGGUAUAAUGUGGAUUAUACACUGUAUUAUGAGGCAGAUGUGAUUAACGGUACCAACACGCCGGGCUUGGGAAGCCAGGCAUGGUGCGGGGUAGCCCUGGCCUAGCCGGGCCCACGUCCCCAUAGGGUUGGCCAAGCCAUGCCAAAAAAACAAAUGAAGAAAAUGUUAAAAAAAAAAAGGCCCGCACAGACCUUAGCCUGGCAUCGGGCUAUAGUUUGUGGCCCAAGCCCUAACUUUUUAGGGUUGGGAUGCCUGGCCAGGCUACAUGGCCCAUUGCCAACCCUAGAUGUGAUAGGUACAAUGGAAGCAAGCAGAGCGAGAGAAAUCGGCAUCUAGUAAAUAUGUAAAGUAAUGUAUAUUUUAUUUUAAGAGAUAUUUUCAUAUAAGUCCCUUGGCCAUGAAUAUUUAUUUUUAUAUUUUUCCAUUUUUUUUAGAAAAUUUUAAAAAUACCCCUGAGCACAUUACAAAAAUUCCUCUCUUAUUCGUCCAAUUCAUGCCACAAAAAAAUUUGUAAAUGGUGUGAACAUACUAGUGUUAAUAGUGUUACAUAUAGAGAGAGUUUUACAGAGAAGACAGUCUGUGUUGUGUACCUGAUCAUACCCUCUUUGCAGAAAGGAAGAGUAAAUGGCACAGAAAGGCUUGAGGCCCUCGACUGCCAUGCCUGCUGCGAACGUUACUGCAUGCUGCUC